AUGGUGUGCCCCAGGAGGGGAGGGAGCAAUGCCCCUGAUGGGCUCUCGUUCUCCAAAGCACUUCGAGCCUGUUCACCAGAGCCCAUCCCAGGCUUGUGGCUGUGUUUAGCCACCUUGGGAAAAACUCAGUUGCUAGGGCUGUUUUCUGUCCUCUUCUGCUUAAAAACCACCUGCUCCGAGGGGAAGGCAAAGCAUCUCAUUCACAUGGAGUCAGCGGGAAGCAGCAGCCAAGAGGCAGCAGCGAGUGUGAGUGAGAGGGGAUCCUUUGCAGCCUUUAUAUACCGGAGUUAUUUUUAACCACAGCCUCCAUGCUUAUUACAGUGUUUCCUCUCUCAGACGCUCAGGAAGCCCACUUGGCUCUGUUUCCUGCUAACAUUCAGCCCUGGCUCACAAAAUCUUUGAGAACAACAGGCCUGAGACUGCUUGGCUCCAUUAAAAAAACUGGCAACUUUUCAAGCCCUGACAGAAAAGCUUUGAAAACUCUGGAUUUCCUCCAGCUAACGUAUGAGGCUCCUACAUCAGUGACAAAUUAGACUGAAACAGCACAAAACACUCCUAUGUAAAUAGCCUUUUUCUGCGUUCACUCUUUUAAUAGUUCAAACAUUAUUUAUAGUUAUUUCGCUGGGUGGAAAAAUAUUUUUAUAUUUUUCCAAAGAUGGGUUCUUGUGAAAUGUUUUCUUUGUUUGUUUGGAUUUUUAUGUUUUCUUUUUUCCUUUGAGAAUUUUGUGACAGUUUUCUUAGGCUCCAGGAGCAACCUUUUCUUCCUGGAAACCAGGACAAAAUGGCUGUUGUGAGUCCUUCACUGAAAGACCUCUGUCCAACACUCAACACAAGUCUCUAAAUGCUGCCAUUCCCCCAACUAUUAAAUAAUAGUUGUAACAGGCAUGACUGAGUUCUGAUUUUUUGAGAGACAACAGGAGAGGUCAGCUGCACUUAAUCACUGACUUCACACAUACGUUUUACAUGUAACGUAAAUUGUAUCAAAUUUUUUUCUUGCAAAGUUUUCACUUCCAUUCCAAAGGGACUCCUACUUCCAAAAUUGCUUUCAAGUAUCAAAAUGCAUGUGAUCUUCAUGGCUGAGAAUGCUGUUUUAUUCCUGUGUUGUGAUUGUACAGCAUCCUAAGAAAUCUUCAUGCUAAUAUUUCUUAUAUCUGUGAGUAAAAAUGACCUAGAAUCAUAGAUAAAUGCAGAUUAUUCGACUGGUGGGAUUUACUGAUUUUCCUG
This 1224-nucleotide long non-coding RNA is filed under the name Parus major (Great Tit). RNAcentral describes it as "lncRNA (ENSPMJG00000012915.1)". Lineage: Eukaryota; Metazoa; Chordata; Aves; Passeriformes; Paridae. The record is from RNAcentral.